CAGUAGCCGCGUAAUACAGAGGGUGCGAGCGUUAAUCGGAUUUACUGGGCGUAAAGCGUGCGUAGGCGGCUUCUUAAGUCGGAUGUGAAAUCCCUGAGCUUAACUUAGGAAUUGCAUUCGAUACUGGGAAGCUAGAGUAUGGGAGAGGAUGGUAGAAUUCCAGGUGUAGCGGUGAAAUGCGUAGAGAUCUGGAGGAAUACCGAUGGCGAAGGCAGCCAUCUGGCCUAAUACUGACGCUGAGGUACGAAAGCAUGGGGAGCAAACAGGAUUAGAUACCCCAGUAGUCCCUGUCUCUUAUACA
This 301-nucleotide ribosomal RNA is filed under the name uncultured bacterium. Its description in RNAcentral is "partial 16S ribosomal RNA". It matches the Rfam family "Bacterial small subunit ribosomal RNA", at positions 509 to 808 of the family's 1533-position model. The record is from RNAcentral.